This 490-nucleotide ribosomal RNA is filed under the name uncultured bacterium. RNAcentral's name for it is "partial 16S ribosomal RNA". It matches the Rfam family "Bacterial small subunit ribosomal RNA", at positions 29 to 507 of the family's 1533-position model. The record is from RNAcentral.
GUGAACGCUGGCGGUAGGCCUAACACAUGCAAGUCGAACGGCAGCACAGUAAGAGCUUGCUCUUACGGGUGGCGAGUGGCGGACGGGUGAGGAAUACAUCGGAAUCUACUUUUUCGUGGGGGAUAACGUAGGGAAACUUACGCUAAUACCGCAUACGACCUACGGGUGAAAGCAGGGGAUCUUCGGACCUUGCGCGAUUGAAUGAGCCGAUGUCGGAUAGCUAGUUGGCGGGGUAAAGGCCCACCAAGGCGACGAUCCGUAGCUGGUCUGAGAGGAUGAUCAGCCACACUGGAACUGAGACACGGUCCAGACUCCUACGGGAGGCAGCAGUGGGGAAUAUUGGACAAUGGGCGCAAGCCUGAUCCAGCCAUACCGCGUGGGUGAAGAAGGCCUUCGGGUUGUAAAGCCCUUUUGUUGGGAAAGAAAAGCAGCAGGUUAAUACCCCGCUGUUCUGACGGUACCCAAAGAAUAAGCACCGGCUAACUUCGUG